GGCCAGACUCCUACGGGAGGCAGCAGUGGGGAAUAUUGCACAAUGGGGGGAACCCUGAUGCAGCGACGCCGCGUGAGCGAUGAAGUAUUUCGGUAUGUAAAGCUUUAUCAGCAGGGAAGAAAAUGACGGUACCUGACUAAGAAGCCCCGGCUAACUACGUGCCAGCAGCCGCGGUAAUACGUAGGGGGCAAGCGUUAUCCGGAUUUACUGGGUGUAAAGGGAGCGUAGACGGCAGUGCAAGCCAGAUGUGAAAGCCCGGGGCUCAGCCCCGGGACUGCAUUUGGAACUGCGUGGCUGGAGUGCAGGAGGGGCAGGCGGAAUUCCUGGUGUAGCGGUGAAAUGCGUAGAUAUCAGGAGGAACACCGGUGGCGAAGGCGGCCUGCUGGACUGCAACUGACGCUGAGGCACGAAAGCGUGGGGAGCGAACAGGAUUAGAUACCCGCGUAC
This 447-nucleotide ribosomal RNA is filed under the name uncultured bacterium. RNAcentral describes it as "bacterial SSU rRNA". It matches the Rfam family "Bacterial small subunit ribosomal RNA", at positions 329 to 793 of the family's 1533-position model. The record is from RNAcentral.